Molecule: long non-coding RNA, 6918 nt
Filed under: Canis lupus familiaris (dog)
Lineage: Eukaryota; Metazoa; Chordata; Mammalia; Carnivora; Canidae
Description: lncRNA (ENSCAFG00000053703.1)
Source: RNAcentral
UUUAUUUGAGAGAGAGAGAGAGACCAGGACAGAGAGUGUGAAAGAGAGAGUAUAAACAAGGGGAACAGCAUAGGAGGAAAGAGAAGCAGACUCCCCGCUGAGCAGGGAUCCCAAUGUGGGGCUCAAUCCCAGGACCCUGAUAUCAUGACCUGAGCCAGCAGAUGCUUAACUGGCUGAGCCACCCAUUUCAGUGGUUUCAUGAGAGAAAAGGCAUAAAUGUGUUUGUUCAAACCACUACUUUAAAGCGAACCAAUCCAACUUAUCUUAGAAAAAAGUUCUGGCACAUUGGCAAAAAUGUUCAGUGUCUUAAGCUCAGAGAAAUGAUGUGGUUGUAGUCAUGCAUUUCCCAGAAUGCCAAGCAGGACAGCAUGAAAUAUAAUCAUUUCAAAGAUGCUUCUGAAAUCCUUCCACAAAAACUCUAUUUAUUGGAUCUGUUAAUCUGUAAUGUGUCCCAGAAGCCCUAGUAAAAGCAGAGUCCAUAGACUUUUUUAUAUUAGAAGACUUAGCUUAGGGAGGGAAAAUUUUCCAUUAUAAGAAUAGUGAUUAAAUCCUGUGCCAUGUGUACCAGUGUAUCAGUGUCUUGAAAAUCGAAAUUACGAGGCACCAGUUGUUGGCUCUAACAUUUAAUAUCUUUGCAAUAAAAAAUGGUACAAGAUGUAGGACAGUACCGGCUGUGAAUAUAUAUGCAUGGCUUUUGAAUGGUUUUCAGUCACUGCAAACAGAUAAUUCUUGUUAAGUACACAUGACAUAUUUCUUAUGUAACUCUAUGUUGUGGCCAAUAUGAAAGCUUUGAAGUUAUACAUGUUACAUGAACUUUAAAUAUUUUGUUAGUAGGAUUUCUUACUACAGGACUGAAAAGUAAAACUGGAUUUGAGCAGUAUGAUCUUUAUUUAUUUAUUUAUUUAUUUUUGAGCAGUAUGAUCUUUAAAUCCUGUCCAAUUUGAUCAAAUAGCAGUUAUUUCAAUGUAAAAACCUUCUCAAGUCUUUUUUUUUUUUUGCAGCAUUUAAAGCAACAUCUGUUUGAACUUUUUAAAAUCUGAUUUCAAAUUGAUUUCCCUGAUUUCAUGAAAACAGCAAACCACACUUUCCAAUCCUCAGUCCACAGGGGUCAGAUCUUCAAAUUAUACUUGUGUCUAGCUGCCAAUAAGUAUUAAGUCAGCAAGAAGCUAGGUAAGAAAAAUUAAAUAUUAGAGAUGUUGCUUUUUUAAAGUAUUGCUUUCUAGCAGGAUCUACACUGGAUCUACUAUUUAUGAAAACAAAUAAUAGGGCAGCCCCUGUUGCUCAGUGUUUUAGCACCACCUUCAGUCCAGGAUGUGAUCCCGGAGACCUGCGAUCGAGUCCCAUGUCAGGCUCCCUGCAUGGGGCCUGCUUCUCCCUCUGCCUGUGUCUGUGCCUCUUUCUCUGUGUGCAUGUAAAAUCUUAAAAAAGAAAAGAAAAGAAAGAAAAGAAAAGAAAAAAUAAAUUAUAAAUAAAAAGUAACUAAACAACUUUCCCACUGUUUUUAGAGAUUAAACACUGUUGCUAUAAGGCAAAGUCUUCACAAACGCUUUCAGAUUAAUGUUGCUAUAAUUAAUCCUUAUAAAGGUGGAAUUACAACAAAAAUAUGAAUUACACGGGACGCCUGGGUGGCUCAGAGGUUGAGCGUUUGACUUUGGCUCAGGUCAUGAUCCCGGGUCCCAGGAUUGAGUCCCGCAUCGGGCUCCCUGCAGGGAGCCUCCUUAUCCCUCUGCCUGUGUCUCUGCCUCUCUCUCUCUCUGUCUCUUAUGAAUAAAUAAAUAAAAUCUUUAAAAAAUAUGAAUUACAACCAUAGGAACUAAUAAAGAAAGCACUUUAGUGGGAUUCUACUUUAUUGCCUUUGAGGCUUACAACAGAUUUUAAAUGUGAUUCAAUUUAAAUUACAGGUGAAUAUUAGCAAUCUUUAUCAUCCAUAAAUAGUCUGAUGUUUUGAUAAGGUUGAAUGACCUAUAACAAGUUAAAAAGUAAGGCUUUUCAAAAAUUUAACAUCGUCAAUCUUGCUGACUCUAUCCCGGACCUAGAUGUUAAUUAACACAUCUUUUAUUUUGAUCUGCUCUUUAUCUUUGUUGGGGUUUUAAUAUUCACUCACCUUUAUUAAUUUUAUCCUGAAUGCCCAUACAACGUGUUCUAGAUGGAAAACAGGUUAUCAUUGUAUACUUAAAAAUAAUGACCACAUGAUUCCUCACAUCAAUUCUUGCCCCGAAGGUGAUGCAAUGAAAGCCAAGUCAGAUAUCCUACAUAAAUUUAAAAGUCUAUAUUACAGGUGGGUAUUGGAGAAAAUUUAUUUUUUAUCUGCUUAUCUACAAGAGAAAGAGACAGUUACCGCCUUCUCCCUCCUUGAAAGGCAGGAGAAAAACCUUUGCUCUUUGGUGACAGGAUGUAAAGGAUCCUGAGAUCUCACUCUAAACUUUUGGGAUAUAAAUAUAUAUCUCCAAGGGCCAGAUAAAGCCAGUGUCUCUGGCUUUUCUGACCUAAGAUGGCUCCACGAUUCUGAGCCUUAUCUUCCCUUAAGAGAUUAAGUAUAUACCUCUGGAGUUAGAAAAACCUGUCUGGAGUUCUCUCAGUACCUAUACAGUUGUGAAUUAACUUCCCACAUCUUGUUCUUAGCCUAGCCUCACAGGAUUUCAGCGAAAUUUAUUCAAAAAGCUGUACGUCUACAGAAACACAAAAAUAUUUCUUCAUAUCUCACACUCUUGAUAGCUCCAAUUAUUGGCACUAUGAACUCUUUUUUGCAUUACUGAUAGUGUUUCUCACAUAAGUAAUAAACAAGCAUAUACAGUCCUUCCUUUAGAAAAUUCAUAUGUUAUACAUGACAUAUUUACUUCCUAUCAUUAACAAAAAGUCAUUUUUAACCUAAUAAAUCAAAGUAAGUUAUCAUUAUCUUAUUUUAUCUGACAGGAUUUCCAGACUUCAGAAGGAAAUUUGUGAAAUAAUGCAUAAUGUUACUAAAGAGACCUUUUUAAACCUCCACCAGCAGGUUUUCCUCAUUUUGAAUCAGUUCAUUUUUUCCUUUUACAUGAAUUUGACAAUGACAUGCCUUUUCUCUUUUUCUUUAUUAUAAUUAACUUAUUUCUGAAUUUGUCAUAACUAUGACAUUUUUGGAACAGCUAACAUAUUCUUUCUUUAAUUAAGACUUGAAGGCUUAUUCCUGCUCUUUUUAGCAGUUCAUUUCAUUACCUUUUUCAAAUUUCUAUGUGACUAAAAAUUAUAUUUUCUAAGUUUCAUAAAACUAAAUUUACAUUUAAAUAUAAUUCAUUUUGCAGAAAAAAAUGACAAUCCUUUAGAAGUAUGGUUUAGUCUAGCUUCAAAUGUACAGUUACAAGAUUAUGUCAAAUGUAUAAAAUGGAGCAUUUUUUAUUAAAUGUAAUAUAUUUCUGCAUAGUGCUACCCAAGCUAAUCGAGUGAUUACCUCUAAUUCAUGAUUUAGCAAACUAUGCCAGAUUAGUGCCAACAAUAAGAAAAAUAUAAAUAUCACACAGUUUGUCCAGAAAUGUUAUAUUUCACAGAAGGUAAAGAAGAUGCUGAUAUAUUCAAUCUUAUCAAACAAUAGAUCUUUGGCUGCAAAUUUAUCUUCUAAUUUAUCUUUAGAUUCAACAUUUGAAAACAAUUAAGUGCUUUGAUGUAUACUUAAUUAGUGUGAUUCUAGUGGCUUAUAUAAAUAUACCAGUUGAAAAUAAUAACUUUUUAAUAAUCUUACCUGGAAACAAAAUCAGUAGAAUCAAAGACAUGGACCUAGCUAAGUUUUAUAUGUCAUAUGUCUAUUAUAUAAAUGUGAUCAUGAUAGAAAACAACAUUUAAAACCAAGCAAUAAUAGGAGUCAAUUAUAGAUAAUCAAGUAUAAUACAUAAUUCCCAAAUAAAUUCAAUAAAAAGUUUGCUAUUUUCUCUCAAGUGAAUGAUACACUGACAUUUACUUUUAUAAAAUGAGGAUAUCUUAGUUUGCAAGGAAGACAUGUACAAACAUGUAUUUCUAUUUAGUGGUUACUAUAAGGAUUUGUGGAUAUAGGAGAUCAUUAAGAUGUUGGAUGAGUAGUUGUCUGGUCCCUGAAAUUUGGCUACAUAGUUAUCAAAUCAUCUGAACACCUGAAAAAUCAACCAGAAAUCAGAGGAAAGAACUGCUACAACUCUACAAAUAGAAAGUUACCACAUUUUGUAAGACAGGAGCUGCAAAGAUGUGCAUCUGAGGCAAUAUAUCUGAAGGCAAACCACAGGGGAAGGGAGCCUCCAUAAGCUGAGUACCAGAAAGUGUUAUUAGCCACAGAGUGCAAAAUGAGAAGGUUUAGAAUUUUGCCUGAAAAGCGCCCAGGAGGCAAAGCAGAAUAGUAUCCCAGGUGGUACAGCAUGUUCUCAGGAUCCUAGGGGUAACAAAAAGAAAAGGGGUGUCUGAGUACAGUGCAGUUCCCAAGCACUGGAGGGGGAGGCUGGCUGAAAAUAGUGAGCCCAGGUGCAGACUUUCUGUCCAGUGUUGCUGUAAACCCAGAACUGUUGCACAGUCAGGUGACUGCUCUCCCAGCGAGGGCCCAGCAAAAGGCAGAAGCAGAGACACCCCCCUCCUUCCCUGGAGGAGCAGCCUGGGUUCUUAUCACAGGAGUCCUUAAGGUUUGGACACUCAGCAUGGGAUCCUGUGCCUGAGAUAAAAACACUGGAUCACAGGCUGGACGAACACAGAGAUUGGAUGGAAACCAGGAGAAAAGAGUGGUUGACUGCUUUUCUGGGAGGGCUCGCUGAGGAAUGGGGGGCACAAACUUUCAGCUCUGGGCUAGAGCUUGGGGCAAAACCAUUUUCACCCCCCACACCAGUUCCAAAGCUGCCUACACUCAACCCAGCCUUGGGGGUAAGGGUGGUGCCAGUUCCUCCAGGGAAGACACUUGAAAAUCAAUGCAUGGGGUACCACCUGCAGAAGGCCAGCGGGAGAUUCCAGCAUACAGAUGGGCGUUUGGUGGGUAAACUUUCACUGUGUACAUAUUUAGGUUUUUCUUUCUGUCGUAUUUGGGAUCUGUUUUUUUUUUUUUUUCCCUAAAAAACAAACCAAAAUACACCCAGGAUCUAGUUUAUUAUUCUGUUCAACUUCUGGCUUGAUCUUAUCUCUCUCUCUCUCUCUCUUUUUAUCCUUUUCUUUUUAUUUUCUUCUUGGUUUCUGUUCACUUCUGAUUUGUGUAGUAAAUUUUUUUCUGGUGUCAUUAUUGCUAUUUUUUUGUAUUUUCUCUCUCUUUCACCUAUUCUUUUAUGCAAAUAAUGAUAAGAACUCAGCCCAAAAAAGAGAACAAGAGGCACUGCUCACUGCCAAGGAUUUUUUUUUUUAGGUUUGAUUUAUUUAUUCAUGAGAAACACAGAGAAAGAGAGGCAGAGACAAAGGCAGAGGGAGAAGCAGGCUCCAUGCAGUAAGCCCAAUGUGGGACUCGAUCCAGGGACUCUGGGAUCAUGACCUGAGCCAAAGGCAGAUGCUCAACCACUGACCCACCCAGGUACCCCCCUGCCAAGAAUUUAAUAAAUAUGGAUGUAAGUAAGAUAUUGGAAUUAGAAUUCAAAACAAUAAUUAUAAAGAUACUAGUUGAGCUUGAAAAAAGGAUGGAAGAUACUAGAGAAUCACUGGAGAAAUAAAAGAACUAAAAUCUAUUCAGGCUGAAAUUUAAAAAUGGUAUUACUGAGAUGCAAUAAAAAAUGGAGGCUUGCCACCCUUGGGUGGCUCAGUGGUUGAGCACUUGCAUUCAGCUAGAUAGUGAUCCUGGGGUCCUGGGAUCUAGUCCCACAUUGGGCUCUCCACAGGGAGCCCCCUUCUCCCUCUGCCUAUGUGUCUGCCCAUGUCUCUCCUGAAUAAAUAUAUAAAAUAUAUAUAUAUUUUUAAGUGGAAGCUUAACCAUUAUGAUAAAUGAGACCGAAGAGAUAGUCAGUGAAAUAGAAAAUAAAAUGAUGCAGUAUAAAGAAGUUUAGAAAAGGAGAGACAAACAACCAGUGGAUUGUGAGGGCAGAAUUUGAUAGUUCAACAAGAGCAUAAAGCAAGACAAUAUUAGACAAUAUUAGAAUAUUAGAAUAAUUGGGGUCUGAGAGGAAGGGCAAAGAGAGAGAGGGCCAUAAAGUAUAUUUAAACAAAUUAUAGCUAAAGCGCUCCCCUAAUCUGGGUAAGGAAACAGGAUUCAAGACCAGGAGGCACAGAGAACUCCCCUCAAAAUUAAUAAAAAUAGUUUGACACCUCAAUAUGUAAUAGUGAUUUUUGCAAAUUUCAAAGAUAAAGAGAAAAUCCUGAGAGCUGCACAGGACAAGAGGUCCUUAACCUACAAGAGUAGAAACAUUAGACUGGUAUCAGACCUAUCCACAAAGAUCCAGAAAGGGCUAGUAUGGUAUAUUGAGUAUAUUGAGUAUGAGAAAAAUAAGCAGCCAGGAAUACUUUAUCCAGCAAGACUGUCAUUUUUUUUAUACUAGCUGUGUAACUUUAUUUUUUUAAAGAUGUGUUUAUUUAUGAUAGACAUAGAGAGGGAGAGAGAGGCAGAGACACAGGAGGAGGGAGAAGCAGGCUCCAUAACAGGAGCCUGACACAGGACUCGAUCCUGGGACUCCAGGAUCACGCCCUGGGCCAAAGGCAGGUGCCAAACCGCUGAGCCACCCAGGGAUCCCCAAGACUGUCAUUCUGAAUGGAAGGAGAGAUAGCUUCCAGGCCAAACAGAAACUAAAAGAAUUUGUGAUCACUACACCAGCUCUGCAGGAAAUAUUAAAAGGGAUCCUUUAAGUGAAAAGACAGCCCAAAUGUAACAUAGACCAGAAAGGAACAGAAAAUCUACAGAAAUGUUGACUUUACAGGUAAUACAGUGGCACUAAAUUCGUAACUUUCUAUUGUUACUCUGAAUGUAAAUGAGUUAAAUGCCCCAAUCAAAAGACACAAGGUAUCAGAUUAAAAAAAAAAAAAAAA